CAGACUGAACCAGCCAAGUCGCGUGAGGGAAGACGGCCUACGGGUUGUAAACCUCUUUUGUCGGAGAGUAAGUACGCUACGUGUAGCGUAUUGCAAGUAUCCGAAGAAAAAGCAUCGGCUAACUCCGUGCCAGCAGCCGCGGUAAUACGGAGGAUGCGAGCGUUAUCCGGAUUUAUUGGGUUUAAAGGGUGCGUAGGCGGCACGCCAAGUCAGCGGUGAAAUUUUCGGGCUCAACCCGGACUGUGCCGUUGAAACUGGCGAGCUAGAGUGCACAAGAGGCAGGCGGAAUGCGUGG
RNAcentral lists this ribosomal RNA (295 nucleotides) under uncultured bacterium. RNAcentral describes it as "partial 16S ribosomal RNA". It matches the Rfam family "Bacterial small subunit ribosomal RNA", at positions 379 to 673 of the family's 1533-position model. The record is from RNAcentral.